This 433-nucleotide ribosomal RNA is filed under the name uncultured bacterium. RNAcentral describes it as "partial 16S ribosomal RNA". It matches the Rfam family "Bacterial small subunit ribosomal RNA", at positions 29 to 507 of the family's 1533-position model. The record is from RNAcentral.
AACGAACGCUGGCGGCAUGCCUAACACAUGCAAGUCGAACGAGACCUUCGGGUCUAGUGGCGCACGGGUGCGUAACGCGUGGGAACCUGCCCUUAGGUUCGGAAUAACUCCCCGAAAGGGGUGCUAAUACCGGAUAAUGUCUUCGGACCAAAGAUUUAUCGCCUUUGGAUGGGCCCGCGUUGGAUUAGCUAGUUGGUAGGGUAAAAGCCUACCAAGGCGACGAUCCAUAGCUGGUCUGAGAGGAUGAUCAGCCACACUGGGACUGAGACACGGCCCAGACUCCUACGGGAGGCAGCAGUGAGGAAUAUUGGACAAUGGGCGAAAGCCUGAUCCAGCAAUGCCGCGUGAGUGAUGAAGGCCUUAGGGUUGUAAAGCUCUUUUACCCGGGAUGAUAAUGACAGUACCGGGAGAAUAAGCGCCGGCUAAAUCCGUG